UGUCAUUUAUCUCCACGCAAUGUUGGAAUGCGAGAUGCCAUCUUCAUAAAUUUGCCUGGCAUCCAGGAUAAAUACCACGCCGUGAUCUCUAAACAGUCUGUCUGCGGGGAAUCCAUUGUGUGGAAAGACCAACAAGUCAGGAUGCGCCUGUCCUGCACGAUGCAGAAUCAGUCAAGGUGAAGAGCUGAGCUCCUAAACUGAUAUCUGGGAUUGAUCUGAAGCUGCUUUGGAAAAAUAAAUGGCUUUCACAAGGUUCCUUCCCCGCAGAAGCCUCUGGUUGGAUUCAUGCCAUAAAGCAGACAUAUUUACCGUUCAUGAAGUGGUGCGAGCUGCCAAGCAUGCUGCAUGCAACAAAUGGACAUGGGAAGAGAAGGAGGCACACCACCAUUAGCAGACCCGAAGCCUGGCCGGUGUUUCUGAAUGUGGGCUUCAUUGGCAAGGUUUCCUGCACCAGCCACAUGUCAUCUGAAGAGCUACAUUCCCCAUUGCCCCCACGGUUGAAGUGUUACACAGGUGUUCUGGUUUUGAGGAUUAAAACAUUCUUUUGAUGUUUCCACUGUCUCUCAAGUCAGGAAAUGUAGCCUGCCAGAUUGGCAGAGGUAGGGGUAAAGCGGGUCGACACUACUGCACCAUCCUCAUCUCGGGCAGUUCAGGUCAGUCAGAGCUCGGGCAGGCGCCUUGCCUAGCUGAAGGACCGAUAAUAGUGAAGCUGUGGCGGUGACUAGCGCCGGGUGCAAAACCUGCCUGAGCAACCGGGCAGAUGCUCAGGUAUUUGCCGCUCGGGUGGGUUUGCCUGUGCUCGGCUCUAGCCUGCCAUGCCCCCCCCCCCCCGUGCUAAAUUGAAAAGCAGAAGGGUCUGUUGCAUACUCACGAGUGGUAAUUUAUGGUCGGUUUUGUUUUUAAUUCUAUCUCUGAAAUGAUACUGCACUUCCCCAGGAAGGAGCAGCCUGUGCUGUAAGCGUGCUCGGUGGCGUCCCUCCAGCGGAACUGGAUUGCUCGCUACGUGAUAUACAAGUGCCCGCACAGCUUCGGCACAUCUCGCUGCACGCGAGGGUGCUGCACAGAAAACAAGAGCCACUUUUUCUGAAUGUCGGGACACUUUUCAAACACUGGAAUGUGCGGUGUAGCUGCCUCCCUGCCGGGAACCAUCAGCAACCCUAGUCAAUUAGGAGAGUGUUCUCAUUUCUGACAGCGGGGAUGUUUCCUUGUCGUCCAGUGUCAUCCCUAGCACGAGGGAGAGAGCAGGGCCCCUUGGAUCGCAGUGAGAGAGAGAGGCAGUGAGAGUGAACUUGCCACUGGGACUUGCCUUCAGAGGUUCCGCCCUUCCAGAGAUCAGAAGCAUCGAUCAGGUUAUCAUUGUCCUGGCCGCCGUAACGUGUCAGUAGUCCUGGAGAGCUAGAUUAGACGAGAAAGCAGAAGCAUCUUCUUGUUCUUCACGUGUGCUGUGAAACAGCUGGCUGUCGCACAGUGGAGAACUUGCUCUCAAGCCUGCUCCCUGGCAAAGAUGCACAGGUUCACGCCUGUUGAGCCCCCAGGAGCCAAAGACCUGGACCUGGACCCCCCAGCGAAAGGCCGGGAGAUAAAAGCUGGGCCGACAGAGAGGGCAGGGGUGCUUGCAGGGGUUUGAGGGAGUGUGUGUGUGGGUGCGCAAGUGUGCGUGCGUAUGGGGCUGUGCUGGGUGGGAUGCACUGGUUGAGUGAAGCCUGGGGGGGACCCCCACCCCACCUCCAGUCUCUACUUAGUUGAGCCCCCCCAGGGAGCCCUGUGACUGGAGCUGUGCAAACAGAGCAUGCAAACAGGCACAGCCUGACAAAGACGCAGCAGUUUGCACAGGAGUUUGUGCAGUGGGGUGCGCACUAGGCACCUGAAGGGCUGGUCCGAGCAAGUGACCUGAGCCCAGAGGCCUAGAGAAAAGCUGCUGAGACCAGGUAAGUACGGGAAGUAGCUCGCGGCCACGGAAGUGACCUGAUGUGCCUGUCAGCAUCAGCUUCUUGGUGCUGAGACCUCCAUCCAGACUGGCCCUGCACCAUGGGGGCUGCCAACACCCGAGCAUGGGCGCACCCCCCCUUGUGGGAUGCAUGCCUUGGUGGAGUCCCUGGAGGGCUGAGUGUGGGAGCUCGAGGAGGAGGUAUGAGAGCUGCCAUGACAGGGACCAUGAAGAUUACAGCCACAACAACUGCCAGGCCCUAAUCCAAGGGAACGGGGGAGGAGGUGGCCACAAACCGCUCCACAAGCUCCCUGGAAAACGGUCGUCUCCAUAUCUGGGGCACGCAGAGCUAGGGCUGCUCCUCCCCUGGCACUGCACAACAGGUACGCUCCCCUCACGGCGCAAGAGGAGACUCUGACAGAGACACCAAAGGAGGAGGUAAGUAUUCAGGAGGUAAGUAUCCCUGCCCCUAGGAGGAGACACUGGGCGGUGGCAGCGGGGGGACUCUCUCCUGAGAGGUACGGAGGAACCCACCUGCUGUCUGGACCCCGUAGCCCGAGAGGUCUGCUGGCUCCCUGGGACCCGCAUGCAAGAGGAUCCCCAGGCUCGUCCAUCCCUCCGAUUAUUACCCUGCACUCCUUGUCUGUGUGGGCACGGACCAUGUGGCCAAGGGUAACCCUGACUUGGACAUGAGUGACUGCAGGGCCCUGGGCUCGAGGGACUGGGGGCUCAAGUCAUUUUCUUUUCUGUGUUCCCUGUUGCAGGCCAUGGAGCCAGGAGGGAAGGCUGCAUGGAAGAUAUCAACAGACGCCUCCUACAAUGGUGUGACCACGAGGGUUUUGUUUUCUUUGACCCCAGCAUGCACUUCAGAGAGAGAGGACUACUAGGAGAGGCCCCUGAACCAAGCAGAGGAGCUGGAUGUGGACUUCUCUAGAGAACCGACAGAGAGGCUGGGCGUCCCAGGGUGACUUCAAGUACCUGGACUCAGCUCGGGAGGAAUGCUCGGCUAGGUCGGAUCAGUCACGCAGUUCCCUGACUGCGAUAGAGAACCUCUUCCUGAUCCAGGAUGUGCAAGGGCGAAGCAGAGGUGUGGCUGAAGGGCCUGUUGGUGGAGUAUUGGAGACGUAAGCACAGUAACUGGUAUCUGAAAGAAGACAUAUUCAUCCUUCAGCAUUUAUGAUGGGUGCUCAUGGUCCUUGUGGUAUUUAAACAAAACAUUACUUGAGGUAGAGAGAGAUCAUAAGAAACAGGUUGAGGAUUUCUUUGCCACAGUCUAUUCAUGCACAGGUAAGCUGUGUACAAAUCUGCAAUAACUUUGUAUAUGAACACUUUGAGCAUACUUUUAAGUUCAGCUCAGUGUAAUGCAGCUAACUCCAGAGAUCCUCUAGAAUUGUUAUGGUUCUGCUUAACCUCAACAUUUAUUUCCAAGAGCUACUUUUACAGUAGAGACUUGGGUUUUUGUUAGUUUUGUAUGGGGGGUGGAAUUAAAUUAAUUUUGCUUUGUUUUCAAUUGAGCUGAGCUGCAUAGAACCCAUGCUGGAGCUCUUUCAAAUUGUCCAUAAUGGAAACCAGUGAAGAGUAGUUGGUAUGCUGUUAAUUCACACCCUAUCUUCCUAGGCAGGCACACAAGUCCUAAACAUUGAAAACGUUAAAGGGCACAUUGGUACUGAUGUGGUAAGACUUUUGGCUCGCAUGUUCUCGAGCAUGUCGACACUUCAUCUUGAUGUGGAGUAUAAAAAUGCCACCUUUAACCCUUUACAGUAGUUACUUUCCCUUUUGGGGUUGGUAGUGUAAUUUUUUUAAAUCUAUUUUUCCUCCUUGUCCAUAUGCUCUUAAUUGGAUUACCUAAAUGAAGGUUGUAAAAUUCCCCAGUUUUCGGGCUUGAUUUCUUUAGUUAUUGUUGUUAUGAUUUG
Molecule: long non-coding RNA, 3840 nt
Organism: Alligator mississippiensis (American alligator)
Lineage: Eukaryota; Metazoa; Chordata; Crocodylia; Alligatoridae
Exons: 6
Source: RefSeq, a predicted model, not a curated record